This 434-nucleotide ribosomal RNA is filed under the name uncultured bacterium. Its description in RNAcentral is "partial 16S ribosomal RNA". It matches the Rfam family "Bacterial small subunit ribosomal RNA", at positions 29 to 507 of the family's 1533-position model. The record is from RNAcentral.
AGCGAACGCUGGCGGCAGGCCUAACACAUGCAAGUCGAACGAACCUUUCGGGGUUAGUGGCGGACGGGUGAGUAACACGUGGGAACGUGCCUUUAGGUUCGGAAUAACUCAGGGAAACUUGUGCUAAUACCGAAUGUGCCCUUCGGGGGAAAGAUUAAUCGCCUUUAGAUCGGCCCGCGUCUGAUUAGCUAGUUGGUUGAGGUAAUGGCUCACCAAGGCGACGAUCAGUAGCUGGUCUGAGAGGAUGAUCAGCCACAUUGGGACUGAGACACGGCCCAAACUCCUACGGGAGGCAGCAGUGGGGAAUCUUGCGCAAUGGGCGAAAGCCUGACGCAGCCAUGCCGCGUGAAUGAUGAAGGUCUUAGGAUUGUAAAAUUCUUUCACCGGGGACGAUAAUGACGGUACCCGGAGAAGAAGCUCCGGCUAACUUCGUG